RNAcentral lists this small nuclear RNA (99 nucleotides) under Symbiodinium microadriaticum. RNAcentral describes it as "U2 spliceosomal RNA". It matches the Rfam family "U2 spliceosomal RNA". From Rfam's summary of the family: U2 is a small nuclear RNA (snRNA) component of the spliceosome (involved in pre-mRNA splicing). Lineage: Eukaryota; Dinophyceae; Suessiales; Symbiodiniaceae. The record is from Rfam by way of RNAcentral.
AUACCUUCUCGGCCUUUUGGCUAUGAUCAAGUGUAGUAUCUGUUCUUAUCAGUGUGACAACUGAUAUGUCUCCAACUGNGUGUACAAAGAAAACUCCCA